CCACCUCUAAACUCUCUUGUCUUCUCAGAUUCUCUCUAACAUUUGAAACCCUAGCCGCAUAUAUCGCCGUCUCCGAUCAGACCGGCGUCCAUGGCUUCCCAGGCCAUGGACGGCCUAUACCCUCUUCUCCUUACCCCAGACCAUGAUUAUUUGAAGCUUUCAGGGUCCGUUAUUCAAUAGAACUAUUCAAGUCCUCCACGGAUCUGAGUUUUUUUGGCUUCUACUCCAUUACGGCGAGUUCAAGCUCUGAAAGGUCUAGACAUGGCCCAGACCUACUCAGGACCAGAUCGUUCCAGGCCUUCUUGUUUCUAGGGUUUAUGAGAAACCCUAAAAAACUUAUUCGAGGUUCUAUAUUUCCUUGUUUUCUUAGAUCUGUAGCAGAUUUGUGUUCUACUCGAUGUUUUAAUGUUUUCCCCCGAUUUUCCUUUUUAAAUUUAGUCUGCUCAAAUUAGGGUUUUCAAAAAUCCUAAAACGAUUCUUCUUCUUUUUCUUUCUUUAUGUGAAUUUGUGUGUCCAUGUCAUACUAAUGUGUUUUCGUCUGUUCUUAUGCAUGUUUUUACUCCUUUAAUGCUUAUACUGGUUUUUACAAGUAUGAUCCACACUUUUCUUGCAUGACUUUCUACUGUUUCUCCUACUAAGAUUAUUUGCAUCUACUGGAUUCUUUUGGUUCGAAAUUUGUUUCUUUUUCUAUUUCCUACGUUCUAUGAGUGAAUUGGCUUGAGUCCUUUUAGCUUUCUUCUAAAACUUGUUCUUUACAAGCUUUCACUCUACUACUUCUAAUUUGCUACGAAUGUUCGUGUGAGUUCCUUGAGCUUGUUGUGAGGGCUUUCCUUAUCUUUUCUACUCGGAUUGAAACCCUGUGUUAAGAUUUUUGCGUGUUUUGGUUCUAGGGUUCUACUCUAGAAACCCUAGGCUCUCAACUCGUGCUGAGUUAAUAUACUGAACUGAAACUUGCUUUUUGCCUAUGAUUCUGAAACUGUUUGUGCCGAUAUUUUCUUUCUUGUUUGACACUAGUAUGCUUUAUAUGCAAGGGUUUUCCUCUAAAUUGAUUCUGUUAGCUUAUGAUUGAUUUCAAUCUCCUAUUACUAAGGCUCGAUUGAAUUGCUACUGAUUUUUACAACUUAACCUCUUCUCCUGUUUUCAUGACUAAGUUCAUUCAAGACUUUUAAAUUUCUGACUAUUUGAUUACUGUAUUUUCCUUAUUUUUCUCAAAACCGUGUAUUGUGGGUUCCUUACCUUAAAUAGGUUGUAUGAACUUACCCCUAUUAUGCUACUCUGAAAAGGUUUUCAAUAUUUUCCUUUCCUUAAUUACUCAUUCUCGUUUGAAAGCAAAUCCAUUUGACUAAGGGAGACCCUAUUUGAUUGACUGGAAUUUUAUUUCCUUACCUUUUUGUUUACUCGUUUUUGUACUAUAGAAAGGGACAACCUUUUCAACUAUAGAUAGUUCUCAACACAAUUAUUUUCUGCACAUUUGCAAUACACAAUCAUCUCUGUCUUUGAAAUAUACUGCUACUACUCUACUGCCACUUUCUCUACUAUUGUUUCUCUACUGAGCAAUAUUCUCCUUUCUCUCCUAC
RNAcentral lists this long non-coding RNA (1577 nucleotides) under Nicotiana benthamiana. RNAcentral's name for it is "long non-coding RNA (NBEN_LNC003404)". Lineage: Eukaryota; Viridiplantae; Streptophyta; Magnoliopsida; Solanales; Solanaceae. The record is from RNAcentral.